Scylla paramamosain (green mud crab) is the source of this 1042-nucleotide long non-coding RNA. RefSeq lists it as uncharacterized. Lineage: Eukaryota; Metazoa; Arthropoda; Malacostraca; Decapoda; Portunidae. The transcript has 3 exons. The record is from RefSeq and is a predicted model, not a curated record.
GUAGUUGGAACCACCUUCCCUCGUGCUGCCUGAAUUCGGUUACAUCGUCGCGAGUUGGAAGAAGACGUGACGAACACGAACACUCGUACACGUACACUCACACUCUUCAUUACGUGCACGCCUGAGCUACUUAUAUUGUGCUGUAUUUUUGGCGGCCGAUGUCAGACGCCUCCGCGAAGGUAGCUAAGAAAGCGGGAUCAUCACUCAGCACCACCACUGUCACGCACCAAGAGGACACCCGCAGCUGGGGACGAGCUUCUGGGAUCUCGUGGCAGGCACUGCACGAAGCAAGCAGACAGACAUCAGCAGAAGCAGCAACUGAACUUUCUUCCACAUGUUUUAGUCGCGGAAAAGGUGGAAGACGUCGAUAAUACACUGGUGGUUAUAUCUGUGUCGAAUGUUUAUAAAUUUGGAGAUAGGUUGAUGCGAAUGAUAAAUUAAUGUAUUUUUGAGCAUUAACUGAUGCUUGGUCACCCAUAAUGAUGUAUAGUUCAAGUAUGGAGAUUGAUGCGAAUGAUAGAUUAAUGUAUUUUUGUGCAUUAACUGAUCCUCUUGGUCACCCUUAAUGAUGCAUAGUUCAAGUAUGGAGAGAGAGUGUUAGAGAGAGAGAGAGAGAGAGAGAGAGAGAGAGAGAGAGAGAGAGAGAGAGAGAGAGAGAGAGAGAGAGAGAGAGAGAGAGAGAGAGAGAGAGAGAGAGAGAGAGAGAGAGAGAGAGAGAGAGAAUUACUGAUAUGAUAUUUUCAUUACAUGUACAAAAUUAUGAUAAUGUAGUGCCAAAGUACGAAAUAUUGCGUAGGUAGGGAUAUUGUGUGUGUGUGUGUGUGUGUGUGUGUGUGUGUGUGUGUGUGUGUUUGUUUGUGUGGUCCAACUUGUAACCAACGACCCAGACCUUGCUGGCCGCGGAGAGAGAAUGAUGGAGGCUACUGCCGUCACGGUAUUUCAGUGCAGGAAGAAUACUGUGUAGCCGGUAGCACUCAUGCGUGCUGAAUGUAAUGAAUGAUCUCACCUUUCUGAUUCGAGUUGUUAUAAAUUUUAACCAUUC